Molecule: ribosomal RNA, 406 nt
Filed under: uncultured bacterium
Lineage: Bacteria
Description: partial 16S ribosomal RNA
Rfam family: Bacterial small subunit ribosomal RNA
Source: RNAcentral
AUUGAACGCUGGCGGCAGGCCUAACACAUGCAAGUCGCACGAGUGGCGGACGGGUGAGUAAUGUCUGGGAAACUGCCCGCUGGAGGGGGAUAACUACUGGAAACGGUAGCUAAUACCGCAUACCAUCGGAUUUGCCCAGAUGGGAUUAGCUAGUAGGUGGGGUAACGGCUCACCUAGGCGACGAUCCCUAGCUGGUCUGAGAGGAUGACCAGCCACACUGUAACUGAGACACGGUCCAGACGCCUACGGGAGGCAGCAGUGGGGAAUAGUGCACAAUGGGCGCAAGUCGGGUGCAGCCAUGCCGCGUGUAUGAAGAAGGCCUUCGGGUGGUAAAGUACUGUCAGCGAGGAGGCGUUACUCACAGAAGAAGCACCGGCUAACUCCGUGCCAGCCGCCGCGGUAAUAC